UUUACCAACUAUCUCCAUGUAAAAAAAAUUUUAUAAAAAAAGUUUGUAGCAUUCAAGAUUCUGUACAUAUCAAUGUUGUUAUGCAUUGUAGGCUUUUUGUGGUUUGUUUAAGUUUUUGAUUUCUAUUGGAAACAAUGAUAUGAGUAUAUGACAUUGUUGCAUUUUUUGGUUUUGCUGAUUUUCAGAUUGUUUGUUAAUCUGUUUGCUGUUUAGAAGAGAAGGCUUUUGAGGCGUAGAAAGAAGAACAAUCCGGUCGUCUUGAAAUUCGUUUGUAAUAUAGGCCUGUUGAUUUCCCCGUUUGAUACCCGUUAUUCUGAACAGCAUGUCUUCACGGCAAUAAAUCUGAUCCCAAUGGAAUGAUUAGUGGUUGGCUGGUGCAUGGGAUCCUGUAGUUGGUCCACGUUUAUCUGGAAUGUUGAUACUACUACGCGUGUAAAGGAGGUGCAGAUUUUAGGGUAGAGAAACUGAAGACAGCAACAACAAAGAAAGAGAGAGACAUAGUGCGAGAGAGCGUAAAGACAGAAAGUGAGACAAUGGUGGUUGUUCUGACUCCGCCUGCCACCGGUGACCAUUUCGUCAAGGAAACCAUACGUCUUCCGUCCUCCACGAGAACAGGCGACGACUGUUAGGCAGUAGGUUCCAGUUUGAGCCUUGGUUUGUUUCCAUUUGUUCAUCAGACUUCAACUUAUGGGGAGAUCUGACACAUACCCAAGGGGGAGGUCUGUGGCCAAAUGUAAGUGUCCAUUUUGAGACCAUCAUUGUAGAGAGAGAAAGGGUGAACAGAGCCACCAUCGUCCUCCUCUGCACCAUGCCAACCAUUAUCUAACGCUGGAUAUAAAUACUAAAACUUUGGUUCAGUUGGCCUCACGCAACCAUUACUUUGCUACUAUUUUUGCUUAGAGUUGGCUUGGCAGUAGGCUUUAUUAAGAUGGAGCUUUGUGCCGACAUCAUAGUGAUGGGAAGAGACCAUCAACAAGGGUCUUGAAAUGCGGGUAUGCUAUUCGUGGUCAAAGUGUAUCACUGGCUCAGCCGCUCAGUUUAUACAUUGGAUUAAGGAGCAGUCGAUGAUCAUCAUCAAUCACCCACAUUGAAUUCAACCCUCACUGGCUAUUCUUUUGUUUACUAUAAUACCAAGUGAACUCUGUGUAAUUUUCAAAUGAUGAGAUCCCUGUACCGGCCAGCCCUAUCAAGAUUUGAAACCGAAGAUGAGCUUGAAAAUCAUCAGAUAAUCAUGUCAAUUGUAAGACAAUAAAAGGAUGAGUUUCGAUCGUUGGGAAAUAUUUUUAGCAUGUAUUUAUAUGAUACUUAUCAUACAGAAAGCAAGUCUAAUUAUUUAAUAGCACACCUUCUUUAUGGCUA
Molecule: long non-coding RNA, 1359 nt
Organism: Helianthus annuus (common sunflower)
Lineage: Eukaryota; Viridiplantae; Streptophyta; Magnoliopsida; Asterales; Asteraceae
Exons: 8
Source: RefSeq, a predicted model, not a curated record